Molecule: ribosomal RNA, 301 nt
Filed under: uncultured bacterium
Lineage: Bacteria
Description: partial 16S ribosomal RNA
Rfam family: Bacterial small subunit ribosomal RNA
Source: RNAcentral
CAGCCGCCACGGUAAUACGGAGGGUGCAAGCGUUAAUCGGAAUUACUGGGCGUAAAGCGCGCGUAGGUGGUUUGUUAAGUUGGAUGUGAAAUCCCCGGGCUCAACCUGGGAACUGCAUCCCAAACUGGCAAGCUAGAGUAUGGUAGAGGGUGGUGGAAUUUCCUGUGUAGCGGUGAAAUGCGUAGAUAUAGGAAGGAACACCAGUGGCGAAGGCGACCACCUGGACUGAUACUGACACUGAGGUGCGAAAGCGUGGGGAGCAAACAGGAUUAGAUACCCGCGUAGUCCCUGUCUCUCAUAC